CCUACGGGUGGCAGCAGUGAGGAAUAUUGGUCAAUGGACGAGAGUCUGAACCAGCCAAGUAGCGUGAAGGAUGACUGCCCUAUGGGUUGUAAACUUCUUUUAUAAAGGAAUAAAACGAGGCACGUGUGCCUUUUUGCAUGUACUUUAUGAAUAAGGAUCGGCUAACUCCGUGCCAGCAGCCGCGGUAAUACGGAGGAUCCGAGCGUUAUCCGGAUUUAUUGGGUUUAAAGGGAGCGUAGAUGGGUUGUUAAGUCAGUUGUGAAAUUUUGCGGCUCAACCGUAAAAUUGCAAUUGAUACUGGCAGUCUUGAGUACAGGUGAGGUAAGCGGAAUUCGUGGUGUAGCGGUGAAAUGCUUAGAUAUCACGAAGAACCCCGAUUGCGAAGGCAGCUUACUAAACUGUGACUGACAUUGAUGCUCGAAAGUGUGGGUAUCAAACAGGAUUAGAUACCCCUGUAGUC
RNAcentral lists this ribosomal RNA (460 nucleotides) under uncultured bacterium. Its description in RNAcentral is "partial 16S ribosomal RNA". It matches the Rfam family "Bacterial small subunit ribosomal RNA", at positions 338 to 795 of the family's 1533-position model. The record is from RNAcentral.